UUUCUUUUUGUGUUUUUUAAAUCAAUUUACAUAUCAUUACUUAUCUUUCUAACAUUAACAUUAGAGUAAGAUUAAAUAACAAGACUAAAGUUAAUAUUAAAUAUUUGGGCCUAAAUAAAAAUCAACAAAUCAAGAUAUAAUUUAAAAGUCUAUUGUCUAAAUAAAUAAAACAAAUAUAAUGAAAGACAAAUAAAAAAAAAAGUAAGUGGAACUUUCAGCAAGAGAGGCAUAUACGUUUCUUUUUUUACUUAACAGUACACACUCAUCAACAAAACAAACUGAAAAAUUAGAAAGAAAAAAAAAAGAGAAAGAAAAGGAUAUUCGGUAACAGCGGCGAUGCGAGUAGGAUGAUGACGAAAAGAAGCGGAAUCACGACGGUUGGUGCUGCUCUUCACGGAAAUGGCAGACGUCGGUGUUGUU
This 420-nucleotide long non-coding RNA is filed under the name Lathyrus oleraceus (garden pea). RNAcentral's name for it is "Pisum sativum (pea) long non-coding RNA (PSAT_LNC035261)". Lineage: Eukaryota; Viridiplantae; Streptophyta; Magnoliopsida; Fabales; Fabaceae. The record is from RNAcentral.